UACGAAGGGGGCUAGCGUUGCUCGGAAUCACUGGGCGUAAAGGGCGCGUAGGCGGCCAUUCAAGUCAGGGGUGAAAGCCUGUGGCUCAACCACAGAAUUGCCUUUGAUACUGUUUGGCUAGAGACCGGAAGAGGUAAAUGGAACUGCGAGUGUAGAGGUGAAAUUCGUAGAUAUUCGCAAGAACACCAGUGGCGAAGGCGGCUUACUGGUCCGGUUCUGACGCUGAGGAGCGAAAGCAUGGGGAGCGAACAGG
This 253-nucleotide ribosomal RNA is filed under the name uncultured bacterium. RNAcentral's name for it is "partial 16S ribosomal RNA". It matches the Rfam family "Bacterial small subunit ribosomal RNA", at positions 524 to 776 of the family's 1533-position model. The record is from RNAcentral.